Cervus elaphus (red deer) is the source of this 634-nucleotide RNA transcript. It is a transcript of the gene named 60S ribosomal protein L13a-like, with no coding region annotated. The record is from RefSeq and is a predicted model, not a curated record. The transcript is spliced from 2 exons. Lineage: Eukaryota; Metazoa; Chordata; Mammalia; Artiodactyla; Cervidae.
AUGGCAGAAGGGCAGGUCCUGGUGCUCGAUGGCUGAGGCCAUCUCCUGGGCUGCCCGGAGGCCAUUAUGGCCAAGCAGGUGCUUCUGGGCCAGAAGACUGUGGUCGUGUGCUGUGAGGGCAUCAAUAUGUCUGCCAAUUUCUACAGAAAUAAGUUGAAGUACCUGGGUUUUCUCCCCAAGCGGAUGAACACCAACCCCUCCUGUGGCACUUCCGAGCCCCAGCCGCAUCUUCUGGCAGACAGUGCAAGGCAUGCCGCCCCACAAGACCAAGCGGGGCCAGGGUGCUCUAGAGUGCCUCGAGGUGUCUGAUGGGAUCUCACAACUCUAUGACAAGAAAAAGCGGAUGGUGGUUCCUGCUGCCCUCAAGGUUGUGUGUCUGAAGCUUACUCAGAAGUUUGCCCACCUAGGGCACCUGGCUCAUGAGGUUGGCUGGAAGUACCAGGUGGUUAACGGCCACACUGGAGGAGAAGAGAAAGGAAAAAGCCAAGAUCCACUAUCAGAAAAAGAAGCAGCUCACGAGGCUACGGAAGCAGGCUGAAAAGAACAUUGAGAAGAAAACUGACAAACUCACAGAGGUCCUCAAGACUCAUGGAUUCCUAGUCUGAGCCCAAUAAAAUUGACUGUUUAUUCUUCA